Podarcis lilfordi (Lilford's wall lizard) is the source of this 71-nucleotide non-coding RNA. The record is from the annotation of a GenBank genome assembly. Lineage: Eukaryota; Metazoa; Chordata; Lepidosauria; Squamata; Lacertidae.
GGGGCUGUGGCUCAGUGCAGAACAUCUGCUUUGUAUGCAGGAGGUGCCAGGUUCAUUCCCUGGGAUCUCCA